This is a long non-coding RNA of Lagopus leucura (white-tailed ptarmigan), 1674 nucleotides long. RefSeq lists it as uncharacterized. The transcript has 4 exons. NCBI's taxonomy places the organism in Eukaryota, Metazoa, Chordata, Aves, Galliformes, Phasianidae. The record is from RefSeq and is a predicted model, not a curated record.
UUUCCCUAUGGCUCCAUUAGGAAGUGGCUGUCUGGCUGUAGGAGGAAGGUGCUCCUGAUCUCACAUGCUGGAGGCUCUGCAGUGGCCCCUGUUGCACAGAGCAACUAAUUCUCUCCCCCUCUGAGAACAGAGAAAAGAUGAUGGGCUAUUUUGUCAGCUCUGGACCCAGCUUCAGGCUGCAGUAGCUUUGACCGUGGCUGGCCCCACUCUUGCUCUGUGCAGAUACAUCAACUGCUUUUGUUUUUUAACCACAUGAGGAAAGAAACUGCUCAGUGAAUGAAGCCAGAUGCACAGGGUUAUGCUGAAGGACCUACAGCCCCUUUGUAAAGAGCUCCAACCAGAAGCUUUGGAAGAGGCACAUAAAACAUUUGUGGAAUUUAUUCCUGGCAAUUAAAGGACACUGACCUGGAGCAGGGCUGAGGAGGUUCCCUGGGCUUUUAUUGACAAGAAUGGGAAGAUCCAGCAACACAGGGCACCAGAGUAGCAGCUGUGAGAAGAGCAUGCCUUCAGAUGUUGGUGAGAAAAGAUGCAAGGCAGAUAAUUCUUACUGGAAACAGAAGGAAAAAAAAACCCCACAACUUCGUGUAUGUUAGCCGUGUAAAAACGAUGAAUGAAAGUGCUGCUUCCUGCCCCCGGGUUGUGACAAACGGAACGGGAAGAAGCACGUUUUGACACAGAAGGGCUGCCCAUCCCGUGCCCUGUGCAUCACCACCGCCGCUCCAAGCAGACGCGGAGCUGAGCACCGGCAGAAGGCGCUGAGGGCACAGCAGGCGCACAGCCCGGAGCGCUGAUCCACGGCUUUGUGCCCGACUCGCGUUUAUUUCCUGCUCACACUGCAUGAAACUGCACCCAAUGCAGGGUCGCAGCCGCACAGCGCCGGGGAUACGGCACAGAGCUUAGAAAUAAUCCUGUCGGAUUUAUGUAACAAAGAGAGGAACGGUUUCAGGUUUUCCACCAAACGCAAACCUUUCUGAGUGCCAAAGUUUCCAGCGGUGAAGAACGUUUGGGUGGACCUUGUGUGUGAAUUAUCUGGGGGCUUGUUAAUUGUGGAAUCCAUCUUUAUGUAUUCUCUGUUAUUCUGUUUCCACCUGGAAGAGUAAAUUAAGACACAGCGUUACCCAAACCACGGACAGCCAAAGCAGGAGAGGGAAUUGAUGUCUAGAGUAAAAUGCUCUAAAUAUCUAAAUGCUCUUAUUCUGCUGCUGGAACCUCUUUCCUAUCAGGUGACAUCACAAGCAGAGAUUUCCCCCUUGGGGACAGGCGGUGUGAUCCCCCGUUUAUCCGGCACUCACCAGCGCAAUUUGCAGCUCAUGGAGUGGAUGGGAAGUAGAGCCCUGCAGAGCAGCUGCCACCGCUGCCAGCUCCAUCCCAGGGCGUCUGCUGCCAUCUGCUGGCAGGCGCGUCAUGCAAAGUGCUGCCAACGGUCCUUCCCUGAGCGCCUCCGCUUCGCAGCUCCUUCACCCACUGCUGCAUCACGCAGACAUCUCCGGUCCUACCCGUGCCCUCACUGCGAGUCCUCUGGGAUAUAAAAAUCCCCUAAAUUAGGGAAAGAUGGAGGGAAUAGGCUGUAAUCUCUGCAGAGGAUCUCAGCUCUUCACGCAUACUUUAUGCUCUUCUUUCUUUUCUUUAUGUUCCCUAACUACAGACAAGCAAUGUGCUCCUUGCACGCCACGU